GGAGAGAUAGCGAAGAGGCUAAACGCGGCGGACUGUAAAUCCGCUCCUUCGGGUUCGGGGGUUCGAAUCCCUCUCUCUCCAUCA
This 84-nucleotide transfer RNA is filed under the name Streptococcus sanguinis SK330. RNAcentral describes it as "tRNA-Tyr". It matches the Rfam family "tRNA". Rfam says of the family: Transfer RNA (tRNA) molecules are approximately 80 nucleotides in length. Their secondary structure includes four short double-helical elements and three loops (D, anti-codon, and T loops). Lineage: Bacteria; Bacillati; Bacillota; Bacilli; Lactobacillales; Streptococcaceae. The record is from RNAcentral.